UACAGAGGUCCCGAGCGUUGUUCGGAUUCAUUGGGCGUAAAGGGUGCGUAGGCGGCGGGGCAAGUCUGAUGUGAAAUCCUGGGGCUCAACCCCAGAACUGCAUUGGAUACUGCCUUGCUAGAGUACUGGAGAGGGAACUGGAAUUUACGGUGUAGCAGUGAAAUGCGUAGAGAUCGUAAGGAAGGCCAGUGGCGAAGGCGAGUUCCUGGACAGUUACUGACGCUGAGGCACGAAGGCCAGGGGAGCAAACGGG
This 253-nucleotide ribosomal RNA is filed under the name uncultured bacterium. Its description in RNAcentral is "partial 16S ribosomal RNA". It matches the Rfam family "Bacterial small subunit ribosomal RNA", at positions 524 to 776 of the family's 1533-position model. The record is from RNAcentral.